CGGGGUGAGUAAUGUCUGGGAAACUGCCUGAUGGAGGGGGGAAACUGCGGAAAACGGUAGCUAAUACGCAUAACGUCGCAAGACCAAAGAGGGGGACCUUCGGGCCUCUUGCCAUCGGAUGUGCCCAGAUGGGAUUAGCUAGUAGGUGGGGUAACGGCUCACCUAGGCGACGAUCCCUAGCUGGUCUGAGAGGAUGACCAGCCACACUGGAACUGAGACACGGUCCAG
Molecule: ribosomal RNA, 228 nt
Filed under: uncultured bacterium
Lineage: Bacteria
Description: partial 16S ribosomal RNA
Rfam family: Bacterial small subunit ribosomal RNA
Source: RNAcentral